CUGGUUAGCCUUCCCGUUGUUAUCUACCAGCCGUACAAGGAAGUCAGUGGCUGAAACAGCAAAGAUAAAUUACAUGGUUUCCAAAAGCAGUUUUCUACUUACGUUGUGAUGGUAAAUGUGCUACAGCAGCUGAUGGGGAAACUGUAAGUAAGAAACAAAGUGUUACUAGUACAUUAGGGCAUUUGGACAGUACCUGAACAAGAGGCGUUGGAGAAAGAGAUGUCGUCUAUAGCGAUGUCGCCGGUGUAACUAGACCCAACGAUCGCCUCUAGGACCACCU
Molecule: long non-coding RNA, 280 nt
Organism: Magallana angulata
Lineage: Eukaryota; Metazoa; Mollusca; Bivalvia; Ostreida; Ostreidae
Exons: 3
Source: RefSeq, a predicted model, not a curated record